Molecule: transfer RNA, 69 nt
Filed under: Bavayia astrongatti
Lineage: Eukaryota; Metazoa; Chordata; Lepidosauria; Squamata; Diplodactylidae
Description: tRNA-Ala
Rfam family: tRNA
About the family: Transfer RNA (tRNA) molecules are approximately 80 nucleotides in length. Their secondary structure includes four short double-helical elements and three loops (D, anti-codon, and T loops). Further hydrogen bonds mediate the characteristic L-shaped molecular structure. tRNAs have two regions of fundamental functional importance: the anti-codon, which is responsible for specific mRNA codon recognition, and the 3' end, to which the tRNAs corresponding amino acid is attached (by aminoacyl-tRNA synthetases). tRNAs cope with the degeneracy of the genetic code in two manners: having more than one tRNA (with a specific anti-codon) for a particular amino acid; and 'wobble' base-pairing, i.e. permitting non-standard base-pairing at the 3rd anti-codon position.
Source: RNAcentral
GAGGCUUUAGCUUAAUUAAAGUGUCUGAGUUGCAUUCAGGAGAUGUGUAUUAAAGUUGUGCAGGCCUUC